AGUGAACGCUGGCGGUAGGCCUAACACAUGCAAGUCGAACGGCAGCACAGUAAGAGCUUGCUCUUACGGGUGGCGAGUGGCGGACGGGUGAGGAAUACAUCGGAAUCUACUUUUUCGUGGGGGAUAACGUAGGGAAACUUACGCUAAUACCGCAUACGACCUACGGGUGGAAGCAGGGGAUCUUCGGACCUUGCGCGAUUGAAUGAGCCGAUGUCGGAUUAGCUAGUUGGCGGGGUAAAGGCCCACCAAGGCGACGAUCCGUAGCUGGUCUGAGAGGAUGAUCAGCCACACUGGAACUGAGACACGGUCCAGACUCCUACGGGAGGCAGCAGUGGGGAAUAUUGGACAAUGGGCGCAAGCCUGAUCCAGCCAUACCGCGUAGGUGAAGAAGGCCUUCGGGUUGUAAAGCCCUUUUGUUGGGAAAGAAAAGCAGCAGGUUAAUACCCCGCUGUUCUGACGGUACCCAAAGAAUAAGCACCGGCUAACUUCGUG
Molecule: ribosomal RNA, 492 nt
Filed under: uncultured bacterium
Lineage: Bacteria
Description: partial 16S ribosomal RNA
Rfam family: Bacterial small subunit ribosomal RNA
Source: RNAcentral